AGAUCGGGCCUUUCAGGCAUCCUCUCCUAAAAACUUUCAGGCCGGCCCCUUGGGGUCGGCCCUUUUUUUGUUGCCC
This 76-nucleotide small RNA is filed under the name Sphingomonas sp. KC8. RNAcentral describes it as "Makes More Granules Regulator RNA (mmgR)". It matches the Rfam family "Makes More Granules Regulator RNA (mmgR)". From Rfam's summary of the family: SuhB later renamed mmgR (makes more granules regulator) was a putative non-coding RNA found multiple times in the Agrobacterium tumefaciens genome and related alpha-proteobacteria. Other non-coding RNAs uncovered in the same analysis include: speF, ybhL, metA, and serC. Several studies inSinorhizobium meliloti showed that suhB element is indeed a non-coding RNA:firstly it was detected on Northern blot and called Sm8RNA, secondly in an RNAseq study referred to as SmelC689. Lineage: Bacteria; Pseudomonadati; Pseudomonadota; Alphaproteobacteria; Sphingomonadales; Sphingomonadaceae. The record is from Rfam by way of RNAcentral.